RNAcentral lists this long non-coding RNA (1351 nucleotides) under Equus caballus (horse). Its description in RNAcentral is "lncRNA (ENSECAG00000042846.2)". Lineage: Eukaryota; Metazoa; Chordata; Mammalia; Perissodactyla; Equidae. The record is from RNAcentral.
UUCAUCAGAGUCCCAUGAGCAGGAAAAUUUACAAAAAUUUCCAAGUGUGUUCUGUGCUGGAAUGUCUCUUUGAACUUUGGUAGAACAGUCAGGUCCUAUGUUUGAUCAACAGAGCUUGGGUAUCUCUGCACCAGUAGGGUCCAUGUCGUGUGAAUGGAGGCCCCACUUUCCCUGAUGACCAUAGUGUGAUAAACUCAAGGUCAGAGAUUUGAGGAAUGUCUGAUGGACCUCAUUAUUAGUUUGGACAUGACUUGCUUAUUUUUAAGAUCCAUAAAGAACAUGAGUUCUAGGGUCUCUGUUAGGUAUUUGAAAGCCUGUGCCUUCCCUCCCAGGUCCACAUUGCCUCAACAAUAACGUCUGCUGGGAGUUUAAAUUCUGACUUUGUUCUCCUUUUUAUAAUCAGAACUCUUUCACCUUUGGCUGAAAUUUGACCUAUUUCAAGUUCUUCUAAAUUAAUUUUCUUAUCUAUCUAUGGUAUAUAGAUCAUUUUCACCCAUUUAAGGAUUUCUGAAAAUAAGAAGAAUAAUCUGUGGUAGAUUAAAGAUGGCUGCAAAUUUUUUGCCUCUCUUCCAAUUAAAGUGUAGGGUCUAAUCCCUCCGCCCUUGAUUGGCACUGGCUUUAUGAACUCAUUAACCAACGGAAUACAAUACAAGUUACAUUCUGAAAUUCUGAGGCUAGUUCAUAAUAAUUCUUGCAGCUUCUGCCUGGAGCUCUUGGAACAUUUUCUCUUGGCCCCUAAGACAAAAUGAAAAGAAAGUCCCAGAUAAGCUCAGACUUUCAGUCCUCCCACCGAGGCACCAACCAUGUGAACAUGGUUACUUAAACACUUAGUCUAAGAUGGAUGAUGGAUCUCCCAGGCUGAAAGAAAGAAGAUAAGAAAAGCAAUAUGGUGACCUUACAAAGGAAUAGAGAUCCAGCUGGAGACUACGAAGAAAAUAGGAGAUCAGAAAACAGACUAACCAUCGCAAAACAAGAUAAUUCAGCAAUAGAAAAAGACGGUUUCACCAUAAAUAGAGAAACUGCGAUAGGGAAAGCAGAUAUGAAAAUUGAUGAAUGAAAGUACAGUUACUGAGGAGUCAAAAGGAGAAUUGAAGAAGAUCCAGAUGAUAUUCUCUUCACAAAGACAUUGAAAAAUAUUUGGUGGAAGGAGCAAGAACAUCUUUGGGAAGAAAUGUAGUGACUAUUCUCUGUGCUAAGAGAUGAUAAGAAACAGACAAGACAACAAGAGAAAAAGAUAGAAGAUACCAAGAGUUGGUGAAGAAAUGCAGCAACUGAAACUCUUAUAAUACUGCUGGUGGACGUAUAAACUGCAACAAACAAUUUGGAAAACCAUUUGGCAGUGUUUACUAAA